GAUGAACGCUAGCGGCAGGCCCAAUACAUGCAAGACGAACGGUAAGUUGAGUAGCAAUACUUAGCCAAGAGUGUCGUACGGGUGCGUAACACGUAUGCAACCUACCCUAUACAGGAGGAUAGCCUAGGGAAACCUGGAUUAACCCUUCAUAGUAUUAUUGGAUGGCAUCAUUUGAUAAUUAAAACUGAGGUGGUAUAGGAUGGGCAUGCGUCUGAUUAGUUAGUUGGCGGGGUAAUGGCCCACCAAGACGAUGAUCAGUAGGGGUUCUGAGAGGAAGAUCCCCCCACACUGGCACUGAGAUACGGGCCAGACUCCUACGGGAGGCAGCAGUAGGGAAUAUUGGUCAAUGGAUGCAAGUCUGAACCAGCCAUGCCGCGUGCAGGAAGAAGGCCUUUCUGGGGUUGUAAACUGCUUUUGCCAGGGGGAUAAAAUUUCCAUGCGUGGAAAACUGAAGGUACCUGGUGAAUAAGCCACGGCUAACUACGUGCCAGCAGCCGCGGUAAU
This 504-nucleotide ribosomal RNA is filed under the name uncultured bacterium. RNAcentral's name for it is "bacterial SSU rRNA". It matches the Rfam family "Bacterial small subunit ribosomal RNA", at positions 28 to 524 of the family's 1533-position model. The record is from RNAcentral.